UGGGGAAUAUUGCACAAUGGGCGAAAGCCUGAUGCAGCAACGCCGCGUGAAGGAAGAAGGCCUUCGGGUCGUAAACUUCUGUCCUUGGGGAAGAAGAACUGACGGUACCCAAGGAGGAAGCCCUGGCUAACUACGUGCCAGCAGCCGCGGUAAUACGUAGGGGGCAAGCGUUAUCCGGAAUUAUUGGGCGUAAAGAGCUUGUAGGCGGUUUGUCGCGUCUGCUGUGAAAGCCCGGGGCUUAACCCCGGGUUUGCAGUGGGUACGGGCUAACUAGAGUGCAGUAGGGGGAGACUGGAAUUCCUGGUGUAGCGGUGGAAUGCGCAGAUAUCAGGAGGAACACCGAUGGCGAAGGCAGGUCUCUGGGCUGUAACUGACGCUGAGAAGCGAAAGCAUGGGGAGCAAACAGGAUUAGUCC
Molecule: ribosomal RNA, 415 nt
Filed under: uncultured bacterium
Lineage: Bacteria
Description: bacterial SSU rRNA
Rfam family: Bacterial small subunit ribosomal RNA
Source: RNAcentral